GUUUUCAUUAAUCAAGAACGAAAGUUAGGGGAUCGAAGACGAUCAGAUACCGUCGUAGUCUAACCAUAAACUAUGCCAACUAGAGAUUGGAGGUUGUUCCUUACUCC
Molecule: ribosomal RNA, 107 nt
Filed under: Cryptosporidium sp.
Lineage: Eukaryota; Apicomplexa; Conoidasida; Eucoccidiorida; Cryptosporidiidae
Description: partial small subunit ribosomal RNA
Rfam family: Eukaryotic small subunit ribosomal RNA
Source: RNAcentral